GACGAACGCUGGCGGCGUGCUUAACACAUGCAAGUCGAACGGAAAGGCCCUGCUUUUGUGGGGUGCUCGAGUGGCGAACGGGUGAGUAACACGUGAGUAACCUGCCCUUGACUUUGGGAUAACUUCAGGAAACUGGGGCUAAUACCGGAUAGGAGCUCCUGCUGCAUGGUGGGGGUUGGAAAGUUUCGGCGGUUGGGGAUGGACUCGCGGCUUAUCAGCUUGUUGGUGGGGUAGUGGCGUACCAAGGCUUUGACGGGUAGCCGGCCUGAGAGGGUGACCAGCCACAUUGGGACUGAGAUACGGCCCAGUCUCCUACGGGAGGCAGAAGUGGAGAAUAUUGCACAAUGGGCGGAAGCCUGAUGCGACAACGCCGCGUGCGUGAUGACGGCCUUCGGGUUGUAAACCGCUUUCGCCUGUGACGAAGCGUGAGUGACGGUAAUGGGUAAAGAAGCACCGGCUAACUACGUG
RNAcentral lists this ribosomal RNA (468 nucleotides) under uncultured bacterium. Its description in RNAcentral is "partial 16S ribosomal RNA". It matches the Rfam family "Bacterial small subunit ribosomal RNA", at positions 28 to 507 of the family's 1533-position model. The record is from RNAcentral.